UACGGGGGGGGCAAGCGUUGUUCGGAAUUACUGGGCGUAAAGGGCUCGUAGGCGGCCAACUAAGUCGGACGUGAAAUCCCCAGGCUCAACCUGGGAACUGCGUCCGAUACUGGAUGGCUUGAAUUCGGGAGAGGGAUGCAGAAUUCCAGGUGUAGCGGUGAAAUUCGUAGAUAUCGGAAGGAACACCAGUGGCGAAAGCGGCUUCCUGGUCCAGCACCGACGUUCAGGCACGAAAGCGUGGGGAGCAAACAGG
RNAcentral lists this ribosomal RNA (253 nucleotides) under uncultured bacterium. Its description in RNAcentral is "partial 16S ribosomal RNA". It matches the Rfam family "Bacterial small subunit ribosomal RNA", at positions 524 to 776 of the family's 1533-position model. The record is from RNAcentral.